AUCUUUCUAGUACGAACGAAAGUAUAGGUGACUUCCACUCAUCCGGUCUUGGUUUAACCCCAAGGAAAGAUA
This 72-nucleotide transfer RNA is filed under the name Eleutheronema tetradactylum (Indian salmon). RNAcentral describes it as "tRNA-Gly". The record is from RNAcentral. RNAcentral also lists the same sequence under 1 other name. Lineage: Eukaryota; Metazoa; Chordata; Actinopteri; Polynemidae.